AAUCGAGCUUAUUAUAACAGUUUCUUAUCUGACCUAAAUGAACCUUCCAAAAAUAACUUAAAAAACCCCCCAAUACUAUUUUCCCAUUCAAAAACUUUUAAAAGCUGCCUAUUACUCACUGUUGUCAAAUAUGGGCUCCUUGCUCUGGAAUUGAAAGCUCUCCAUUAAGUGGGUUCAUAAUAGACCUGUUAAUUCCUAUUCUUUAUCAUAAUGUCUUCACUUCAGUUGUAUGUUCUCCCCAUUGUCCCCUUCACACCUGUGCUCAUUCAUGGCUUUAUUUAGGUUGUUCAAAAAACUGGAUGGAUAAAAUUUACUGGAUGCUACUUGAUCUGUGCUGGGGACUGCUAUGGAGUUGCAAGAAAGAAAGACUGGAACAUUAUCAAAGAAAGGAUAAUGAACGUUUAUUGUAAGCAGCACACAAGAUUUUAAGCUCUUCUCGAGAGAAAUAAUCUAUCCUCCCCAAUCCUCCCCAGAAUGUGAACAGGGGAGUUAACCCAUUCUCAGGAGAUCUUGAAACUGUUCAUGCAUCCUUGAACUGAGAUUACUAUGUUUUGGCGUACUCAGUAGGAAUGGUAUGUCACAAAUACCUGGGAAGAGGAACUCUAUUCCAUGAGGUCAUGAAAAGUUCACUGCAGAUCUGCCUUCACAAUUUAUUUAUACCAAGUUGUUUUCCAUGAAUGACGAGAAGAAAGGCUCUUAUUUUAUAUACAUAGCUAUUUUGUGUGCCUUUGUGUAUUACAUGUAUGUAAAUGAUAUGUUCUUAGAUAUUGUGUUCAUCCCAUGCCAAGUUUGUAAGAGUGAAAAAAGGGAUUAAUUAUUGUAGCAAUCCAGCCCAUAUGUAUAAUUAAGAGGCAAGGAUUGUGUGUGGGCACAUGGCCAUUCUGUGCAUGGCAAUGAAUUCUGUUCCCAGCAUGGCUAAGGCUAGGGCGUGAAAUCUUACUUCCCUUUGUCUUACCCACCUGGGAUACAACCCCACCUUCACCUUGUCGUAAUUUGCAAUUAUCCAAUGGCAAUACACUAUGUAAUUCAUCAAUAUGUAUUGGGUACAUUUGCAUGUCAAAGAGAUUAAAAGGAGAGCUCGCAGCCAUCUCUCUCUCUCUCUCUCUCUCUCUCUCUCUCUCUCUCUCUCUCUCUCAGAGAUCUCACAGGAUUGCCUAACCCUAUCUCUUCUCUCUUCUCUCUCCUCUCUAUCUCUCACCUGAAACCUGGCCUUUGGCCAGGCCUCUCUCUUUUCCAAUGCUAAUACCUAGCACUCUCUAAUUCAUCCUACUAUACUCUGUUUAUUCUCCCAGCUAAGCUAUAAUAUCCUCUGACCGGUGAAGUGUUAAAUUGGGAUCAUUGGACGGAAUUAGCCUUUUGAGAAGUCCACUGAUUGGAGUAUGGCUGCGGCUCCAUUGUAAUCGAUACGGCCUGGUUUCUGACUCAUUUCUGACAUCUCGAACUUGGUUCCCUCACGCCCUUCAUGGAAUCCUAAACUACUAUCCUUUCUCUAUCUUUCUUAUCUUGUGGCUUCUCACUGGCGAGAGGCUAUAAUUAUUAAAAAGAGUAGGGUCACUAGGAAUUUAAUUUAUUCCAAAGAGAUUUAUUUACAAUUUAUUUUCAAAAUAUAGAAAGAGUGAAGUAAGAAAAUCAGAGAGGAUAGGGUAAGAUAUCUAGCCUAAGUACUAAGUAAUUUACUCCUGACCCUUGGCUCAGUCCGGACAAGGAGAGUUAGUCCUUAGCUGGUCUUGGCAAAGCCAAGGACCUGGGAAAGUCUCUCUCAAGAGGUAGUUCUUUCCUGAGGCUAGUUUUUUUCCCCCAGAAAAUCCAGGAAAGGAGUCAGCCUUUUCACUUACCAUGUGUCAGGAAGAGAUUUAAGAAAAGCCUCACUAGGAACAGGGUCUCAGGUCCAGUCAGUAGAUUCUUUUCCAGUCUCAACUCCAAAGAAUGAAAAACUCUGUUUCACAAGAAGUUCUACUCCAAGUAGAACUAUACUCAGGAAGUUGUAACUCCCCUUUAAAGACAUUUUCUUUUGUGUCACUUCCUGUGCCUCCCCCUAAUUUUAUGUCUACCAAUCACAGUUGAAGCUUUGCUUUAAGACUGCCCAGGAGCAGUCAGUUUAAUUCUGAUUCAUCACCCACUAUUGCAUAUGUAGGUCACGGACCUCCCACUUAAUGGUACAUUUACACUUUUGGUGAUUAAAUCUAAAAAUGGGCAGGGGAACUAAUUUAAUUUUCACAAUCAGGGGGAGAGUUAAUUAAUUUCAUUUUCACAAUCAGGGGAGAGUUAAAUUUAAUCUUCACAAGUUCUAUAUAAAUAAAAUGGUGUCUGUAUAUAUAAGUCGUGAAUGAUAAGAAAGGAAACAACAGUGCCUAACAACAAAUCAUGGUUUUAGGACUUACCAAAUAAUUUAGUGCAAUCUCUUCAAUUUAUAAAUAAGUAAAUUGAAAUCCAGAGCAAUAAAGUAAUUUACCCAAAACCACACAGAUAAUAAAUAGUAGAAAAAGGAUUUGAACCUAGAACCAGAGGAUGCAGUUUCUCAAAAUUCAAAUCCAAUGCACUUUCAGGUGUAGAUAAAUUACAAUCCAGGGUACACAAAGUUUUGGGGUAGGUGUUCAUGAAUUCACUUUGAGAAAUCAUCUAGAACAGGAAAAAAAUGAAGAAGAAACCUAGGAAUAGGCAGAUAUCUCAAUUUUCAUUAAAAAAUGAGAAGCCAGAGAGGUCAUGAUAACAUGUUUUCAGAUACUGAAUAAGAAAAGACUUAGAAAGAAUGUGAUAGAUGGCUUCAAUUCUAGAAGGGCUGUUAGAAAUAAAAAUGAUGUGUGUGUGUGUGUGUGUGUGUGUGUGUGUGUGUGUGUGUGUGUAUCCAAAAGGCAAAAUUAGAACCAAUGGAUGGUAAAGGGCAAGAGUUCAAUUCAAUGCAAAAAAGAAUUUUCUAGCAAUUAAAGCUAUCCAGUAAGGGAACAAGCUGCCUCACAAAAUAGUCAGCUCCCCUGCUGGGAGCCAUCAGAUCACAAAGCCUUGACAGAGUCACAUGUGGUAGCUGGGGAUACCACAGAGUGGUCCUUGGUGAGAGAUGACUGCCCACUCUAUCCCCUUUAUAUGACCUCUUUCAUCAAUGCCCCUUACCUAUGAAUUGGCAUGAUUACUAUUCCCCCUAGUCUCAAAAGAAAUAAUGCAAGAGCAAAACACCUGUACCCUAAUUCUCCAAAAACAUCACCAAAAGAUCAGACCCUUAAACCCAAUCCCAAAAAGACUAUCAUGGGUUAACUUUUACUUAGGUACAUAAUUCUCACUAAAUUCUCACUAAACCACAGCUACAGGCCAAGCCCAAAACUUUCUCAUGAAGCCAGCACACAAAUCAAUAAUAAAGGCCCAUACAAUACAUACAGGUACACUACAAGUAUAUCAAGCUUCAAUAUGCCUCAGUGACUCGAUUUCACAAACCAGUAACUUGCCAGUGGGAAACUCCCUAGUAAGAACCCUGAGAAAUGACCAGUCUAAUACUAAAUUUGAAUUGUGUUCCCAAUACCCCUCAACCUCAAUGAUAUGAUUGUUGAAUUGUCUUUUAAGAACUGCUGAUUAACUAUUCCAUUUUAUUAAAAGCAAUAAGUAAUUUUCCUUGAUUGUUUAUAAGCUCAGAACUUCGCACAGGAUAAUGAGAAAAUUAAGCCACCUGUGAUAAAAUCAUUUAUCUUGUAUUCUGACUGUAAUCACAAUACAAAAAUAUAGAAUGUUAAUCAAGUGAUUUGUUAAAAGUUAAUGUAUCACUUUUCCAAUUAUCUCUCUUUGAUUUUAUGUACCUGCAUGCCAAGAAAAUGGGUAUAAAAAUAAAAAGCAGACAUUGGAAUGGCGGAGCAGCUGUCAAGAUGCAAAGCAGUUCCAAGGCCAUAAUUAUUAAGCUGUCUUCAAUUUGUUAUUUAUUUUGACUGAUUGUUUGCCACCUGUCAGGAAUCCUGGAGUCGAUAGUGAGGCUGGAUCCUGCCCGCAGCACUCCCCCUUCCAAGAAAUGCUCAAGCAAAAGGUAGGUUGUCAACUAUUUGAAAAUGCAUGCUAACCAAGACUUGUGUUUCUUUUGUAUAUCCCCAGGACCACAAAUAGUCUGAGAGUCAUUGAUAUCCAGUGGGAAGACAGAAGUCAAGAUGAUUGGCGAUGGUCCAGGAUACAGCAAAUAACCUUGGUGUCUAGUGGAUACCGUCAGACAUCUUUAGAAGCUUCCUAAAUCUGUGUCUGUCCUGGGUUUGUUCUUGGUACAUCGCCAGAACCAAAGCAUGUUGUUUUCCCUGGUGGGUACUAAUGAAGAUUGAUUGUUACAAAAUCAGAGUUAGAAAAUGCAAAAGCUGGAAGGCCCUUGGAGAUCAUCAGACAUACAUCCCUCACUUGAUAGGUAACCAUCUAAAAGGAAAGCAGUCUGAGGUCUCCUACAAGAGCUCCUCCAGGGGUCGAAUUCCACAGCCAAGUGUCUUCACUCCAAGUCUGGGUGUCUAUUUUCCAGUCUCUCCUCAAGUGACUCUUCUUCACUCCUUUAUGUACCCACAGGCAAAUGACUUAAAUUCUUAGUUCUCCAUGUAGACAAUUUUCCAAGAUGAAAUUACAUAGAAAUUGCUAGAUUUACAUCAGUGGAAGGACUUUCCUAUACCUAUGAAAUAACGAGUUUGGAACAAAUAUCUUUCUGUCUUCCUGUCUUUCUAUCUACAUAUCGGUGUAUCUAUGUAUCCAUAUAUUUGUUUGUCUGUUCACCCAUCCAUCUGUCCAUCCAUCCAUCUAUCUACCUAUCUCACCAUGUUCUCUCUCUCCUUUCCCUCUGUUUUUCUGUUUGUGUGUGCAUAUGUCUAACUGUCCAUCUAUCUAUAUAUCUUUGUAUUAUUAACAAAAGGACUUUUCCCACCUCCACUAAAAAUUGUCUGGACAGCUAGGUGGCACAGGGAAUUGUGUACUGAACCUGAAGUCAAGAACACUCAUCUUCCUGAGUUCAACUCUGACUUCAGACAUUUACUAGCCAUGUGACACUGGGCAAGCUACUUCACCCUGUUUGCCUCCGUUUUCUCAUCUGUCCAAUGAACUGGAGAAGGAAAUGGCAAACUACUCCAGUAUCUUUGCCAAGAAAACCCCACACGGGGUCACAAAGAGUGGGACAUAUCUGAAAUGACUAAACAAUAGACUCUCAUCACUUCAUGCCCAGGCUAUUGCAAUAGCCUUUUGGCUUCCUUUCCCUGUUAGAAUGAAAACUGAACAACAACAACAAUUGUCUUUUAAUAAUCUGCUUUUAUUUUUGGAGUAAUAAUUUCUAUGUCUAAAGUUCAACCAAUAGCAAAAAAGAAAAAAAAAACCUCUAAUAGUUAAUCCCUUACAAGGGGUCAUUUGACCUUCUUUCAGAAACCCAUUGAUGGGAAGCUCAUUACUUCUCUAGGCCAUUCAUUCCACUUUUGGAUAGUUCCAUGUUAGAUGCCUCUCUCAUAUUGGAUACUAUGGCUCUAUUAAUACAGAUCACAUUAGAUAUUUUGGCUGCCAUAUUAUACUGUUGACUUAGUAUGAGCUUGGGGUCCACUAAAACUUUCCAGAUUUUUUUCAAUAUGAGCUGUUAUUUAGCUCUGCUUUUCAUUUCUUAUACUUAUAAAGUUGAUUUUUAAACUUAAAUAUAGACAUUCACAUUUAUCUCUAUAAAAUUUCAUUUUUUUUUCUAUUUUGCCCAAUGUUCUAGCCUAUCAAAGUAUUUUUGGAUAAUAAACUUUGGCAUCCAACAUGUUACCUAUUCCAUAGCUUUGUAUCAUUUGUAAAUAAAAUAAGGACACUUGUUAUUUAAAUUAUUGAUGAAAUUGCUAAGUAGCACAAUUUGAAACUGUUUUACAAGUUGAUAAAAUCAUUUGUCUCUAUCUUUUUCUGAAUCCAUCUACUUGUUCUUUGUCAAGUCCAUAUCCUGCCAUCAUCUUGGCAAAAAGGCAAAAGACUUUGUCAAAUGUAGUUAACUAAAUCUAUGACACACACACACGCACACACAUGCAUGCAC
Non-coding RNA from Monodelphis domestica (gray short-tailed opossum), 5986 nucleotides. NCBI's taxonomy places the organism in Eukaryota, Metazoa, Chordata, Mammalia, Didelphimorphia, Didelphidae. The record is from RefSeq and is a predicted model, not a curated record.